RNAcentral lists this ribosomal RNA (398 nucleotides) under uncultured bacterium. Its description in RNAcentral is "partial 16S ribosomal RNA". It matches the Rfam family "Bacterial small subunit ribosomal RNA", at positions 523 to 919 of the family's 1533-position model. The record is from RNAcentral.
AUACGUAGGGGGCGAGCGUUGUCCGGAAUGACUGGGCGUAAAGGGCGUGUAGGCGGCUGUCUAAGUCUGGAGUGAAAGUCCUGCUUUCAAGGUGGGAAUUGCUUUGGAGACUGGAUGGCUUGAGUGCGGAAGAGGUAAGUGGAAUUCCCAGUGUAGCGGUGAAAUGCGUAGAGAUUGGGAGGAACAGCAGUGGCGAAGGCGACUUACUGGGCCGUAACUGACGCUGAGGCGCGAAAGCGUGGGGAGCGAACAGGAUUAGAUACCCUGGUAGUCCACGCGGUAAACGAUGAAUGCCAGGUGUUGCGGGUAUCGACCCCUGCAGUGCCGGAGUAAACACAAUAAGCAUUCCGCCUGGGGAGUACGGCCGCAAGGUUGAAACUCAAAGGAAUUGACGGGGG